UACAAGAAUAGCAGAUUCUUCAUCGCAACAUUAAGAGCUUUGCUAAAAAUGGGUUAUCAGUGUGCAUUUGGUGUUCUUCAAAGCGGAAACUAUGGAGUUCCUCAAAACAGACAUCGUGCGUUUGUCAUUGGUUCACUACCUGGAUACAAUCUUCCACGGUUCCCAUACCAAAGCAUUCUUUUCCAUCAAGGCUUUCCUUUAAUGUUGAAGGAACCAAGUUUGGAUCGGAUUUCGAAAAUGAAGACAUCGGAAAGUAUCGCGGUUUAACAGUAAGAGACGGAAUUUCUGAUCUUAUGAAGGAUUAUGAAGCUGAGACGGAUUACCAA
Xenia sp. Carnegie-2017 is the source of this 326-nucleotide long non-coding RNA. RefSeq lists it as uncharacterized. Lineage: Eukaryota; Metazoa; Cnidaria; Anthozoa; Malacalcyonacea; Xeniidae. The transcript has 3 exons. The record is from RefSeq and is a predicted model, not a curated record.